This 361-nucleotide ribosomal RNA is filed under the name uncultured bacterium. RNAcentral's name for it is "partial 16S ribosomal RNA". It matches the Rfam family "Bacterial small subunit ribosomal RNA", at positions 338 to 696 of the family's 1533-position model. The record is from RNAcentral.
CCUACGGGAGGCAGCAGUGAGGAAUAUUGGUCAAUGGGCGAGAGCCUGAACCAGCCAAGUCGCGUGAAGGAUGACGGCCCUACGGGUUGUAAACUUCUUUUGUCAGGGAGCAAUUGGGUCCACGCGUGGGCUUCGCGAGAGUACCUGAAGACAAAGCAUCGGCUAACUCCGUGCCAGCAGCCGCGGUCAUACGGAGGAUGCGAGCGUUAUCCGGAUUUAUUGGGUUUAAAGGGUGCGUAGGCGGAAUAUCAAGUCAGCGGUAAAAAUUCGGGGCUCAACCCGGUCGUGCCGUUGAAACUGAUGGGGUGGAGGGGGGGAGAAGGAGGAGGAAGGCGUGGUGGAGCGGUGAAAUGCAUAGAGA